RNAcentral lists this small nuclear RNA (153 nucleotides) under Chinchilla lanigera (long-tailed chinchilla). RNAcentral's name for it is "U1 spliceosomal RNA (ENSCLAG00000019985.1)". It matches the Rfam family "U1 spliceosomal RNA". Rfam says of the family: U1 is a small nuclear RNA (snRNA) component of the spliceosome (involved in pre-mRNA splicing). Its 5' end forms complementary base pairs with the 5' splice junction, thus defining the 5' donor site of an intron. There are significant differences in sequence and secondary structure between metazoan and yeast U1 snRNAs, the latter being much longer (568 nucleotides as compared to 164 nucleotides in human). Lineage: Eukaryota; Metazoa; Chordata; Mammalia; Rodentia; Chinchillidae. The record is from RNAcentral.
AUACUUAUCUUUCAGGAACGAUACUGAUCACAAAGAUGAUUUUCCAGAGGCUUAUCUACUAUACUGUGGAUAUGCAGAUCUCUGUGAUUUUCCCAAAUAUGGGAAACUCAACUGCCUAAUUUGUGGUAAUGGAGACUUUGUUCAUGUUUUCUU